This 1428-nucleotide ribosomal RNA is filed under the name Enterococcus durans. RNAcentral describes it as "bacterial SSU rRNA". It matches the Rfam family "Bacterial small subunit ribosomal RNA". The record is from RNAcentral. Lineage: Bacteria; Bacillati; Bacillota; Bacilli; Lactobacillales; Enterococcaceae.
UGCAAGUCGUACGCUUCUUUUUCCACCGGAGCUUGCUCCACCGGAAAAAGAAGAGUGGCGAACGGGUGAGUAACACGUGGGUAACCUGCCCAUCAGAAGGGGAUAACACUUGGAAACAGGUGCUAAUACCGUAUAACAAUCGAAACCGCAUGGUUUUGAUUUGAAAGGCGCUUUCGGGUGUCGCUGAUGGAUGGACCCGCGGUGCAUUAGCUAGUUGGUGAGGUAACGGCUCACCAAGGCCACGAUGCAUAGCCGACCUGAGAGGGUGAUCGGCCACAUUGGGACUGAGACACGGCCCAAACUCCUACGGGAGGCAGCAGUAGGGAAUCUUCGGCAAUGGACGAAAGUCUGACCGAGCAACGCCGCGUGAGUGAAGAAGGUUUUCGGAUCGUAAAACUCUGUUGUUAGAGAAGAACAAGGAUGAGAGUAACUGUUCAUCCCUUGACGGUAUCUAACCAGAAAGCCACGGCUAACUACGUGCCAGCAGCCGCGGUAAUACGUAGGUGGCAAGCGUUGUCCGGAUUUAUUGGGCGUAAAGCGAGCGCAGGCGGUUUCUUAAGUCUGAUGUGAAAGCCCCCGGCUCAACCGGGGAGGGUCAUUGGAAACUGGGAGACUUGAGUGCAGAAGAGGAGAGUGGAAUUCCAUGUGUAGCGGUGAAAUGCGUAGAUAUAUGGAGGAACACCAGUGGCGAAGGCGGCUCUCUGGUCUGUAACUGACGCUGAGGCUCGAAAGCGUGGGGAGCAAACAGGAUUAGAUACCCUGGUAGUCCACGCCGUAAACGAUGAGUGCUAAGUGUUGGAGGGUUUCCGCCCUUCAGUGCUGCAGCUAACGCAUUAAGCACUCCGCCUGGGGAGUACGACCGCAAGGUUGAAACUCAAAGGAAUUGACGGGGGCCCGCACAAGCGGUGGAGCAUGUGGUUUAAUUCGAAGCAACGCGAAGAACCUUACCAGGUCUUGACAUCCUUUGACCACUCUAGAGAUAGAGCUUCCCCUUCGGGGGCAAAGUGACAGGUGGUGCAUGGUUGUCGUCAGCUCGUGUCGUGAGAUGUUGGGUUAAGUCCCGCAACGAGCGCAACCCUUAUUGUUAGUUGCCAUCAUUCAGUUGGGCACUCUAGCAAGACUGCCGGUGACAAACCGGAGGAAGGUGGGGAUGACGUCAAAUCAUCAUGCCCCUUAUGACCUGGGCUACACACGUGCUACAAUGGGAAGUACAACGAGUCGCGAAGUCGCGAGGCUAAGCUAAUCUCUUAAAGCUUCUCUCAGUUCGGAUUGUAGGCUGCAACUCGCCUACAUGAAGCCGGAAUCGCUAGUAAUCGCGGAUCAGCACGCCGCGGUGAAUACGUUCCCGGGCCUUGUACACACCGCCCGUCACACCACGAGAGUUUGUAACACCCGAAGUCGGUGAGGUAACCUUUUGGAGCCAGCCGC